RNAcentral lists this ribosomal RNA (408 nucleotides) under uncultured bacterium. Its description in RNAcentral is "partial 16S ribosomal RNA". It matches the Rfam family "Bacterial small subunit ribosomal RNA", at positions 28 to 526 of the family's 1533-position model. The record is from RNAcentral.
GACGAACGCUGGCGGCGUGCUUAACACAUGCAAGUCGAACGGAGUGGCGAACGGGUGAGUAACACGUGGGUAAUCUGCCUUGCACUUCGGGAUAAGCUUGGGAAACUGGGUCUAAUACCGGAUAGUGCAAGAGGAGCGCGGGGCCUAUCAGCUUGUUGGUGGGGUAAUGGCCUACCAAGGCGUCGACGGGUAGCCGGCCUGGGAGGGUGUACGGCCACAUAGGGACUGGGAUACCGGCCAGACUGCUACGGGAGGCAGCGGUGGGGAUUAUUGCACAAUGGGCUGAAGGCUGAUGCAGCGACGCCGCGUGGGGGAUGAAGGCCGUCGGGUUGUAAACUCCUUUCGACAGGGACGCGGUACCUGUAUAAGAAGCACCGGCUAACUACGUGCCAGCAGCCGCGGUAAUUC